GACCUCAAAUCAGGUAGGACUACCCGCUGAACUUAAGCAUAUCAAUAAGCGGAGGAAAAGAAACUAACAAGGAUUCCCCUAGUAACUGCGAGUGAAGCGGGAAAAGCUCAAAUUUAAAAUCUGGCAGUCUUUGGCUGUCCGAGUUGUAAUCUAGAGAAGUGUUAUCCGCGCUGGACCGUGUACAAGUCUCCUGGAAUGGAGCGUCAUAGAGGGUGAGAAUCCCGUCUUUGACACGGACUACCAGGGCUUUGUGAUGCGCUCUCAAAGAGUCGAGUUGUUUGGGAAUGCAGCUCAAAAUGGGUGGUAAAUUCCAUCUAAAGCUAAAUAUUGGCGAGAGACCGAUAGCGAACAAGUACCGUGAGGGAAAGAUGAAAAGAACUUUGGAAAGAGAGUUAAACAGUACGUGAAAUUGCUGAAAGGGAAACGCUUGAAGUCAGUCGCGUUGUCCAGGGAUCAACCUUGCUUUUGCUUGGUGCACUUUCUGGUUGACGGGUCAGCAUCAAUUUUGACCAUUGGAAAAAGAUUAAGGGAAUGUGACAUCUUCGGAUGUGUUAUAGCCCUUGGUUGCAUACGAUGGUNNNGAUUGAGGAACUCAGCACGCCGCAAGGCCGGGUUUAACC
Molecule: ribosomal RNA, 620 nt
Filed under: Cortinarius phoeniceus
Lineage: Eukaryota; Fungi; Basidiomycota; Agaricomycetes; Agaricales; Cortinariaceae
Description: eukaryotic LSU rRNA
Rfam family: Eukaryotic large subunit ribosomal RNA
Source: RNAcentral